UACGGGGGGGGCAAGCGUUGUUCGGAAUUACUGGGCGUAAAGGGCUCGUAGGUGGCCAACUAAGUCAGACGUGAAAUCCCUCGGCUUAACCGGGGAACUGCGUCUGAUACUGGAUGGCUUGAGUUUGGGAGAGGGAUGCGGAAUUCCAGGUGUAGCGGUGAAAUGCGUAGAUAUCUGGAGGAACACCGGUGGUGUAGACGGCUCUCUGGACCGCAACUGACGCUGAGACACGAAAGCGUGGGUAGCAAACAGG
Molecule: ribosomal RNA, 253 nt
Filed under: uncultured bacterium
Lineage: Bacteria
Description: partial 16S ribosomal RNA
Rfam family: Bacterial small subunit ribosomal RNA
Source: RNAcentral